RNAcentral lists this microRNA precursor (51 nucleotides) under Marmota monax (woodchuck). Lineage: Eukaryota; Metazoa; Chordata; Mammalia; Rodentia; Sciuridae. The record is from RNAcentral.
UUUGUAGUGUAGUAUAUCCCAUGCAAUAUUUGUGAAAUAGUUAUAGUAAAA